RNAcentral lists this ribosomal RNA (503 nucleotides) under uncultured bacterium. RNAcentral's name for it is "partial 16S ribosomal RNA". It matches the Rfam family "Bacterial small subunit ribosomal RNA", at positions 30 to 523 of the family's 1533-position model. The record is from RNAcentral.
AUUGAACGCUGGCGGCAGGCUUAACACAUGCAAGUCGAGCGGGCGAGGUUGCUUCGGUAACUGAGCUAGCGGCGGACGGGUGAGUAAAGCUUAGGAAUCUGCCUAUUAGUGGGGGACAACAUUUCGAAAGGGAUGCUAAUACCGCAUACGUCCUACGGGAGAAAGCAGGGGAUCACUUGUGACCUUGCGCUAAUAGAUGAGCCUAAGUCGGAUUAGCUAGUUGGUGGGGUAAAAGCCUACCAAGGCGACGAUCUGUAGCGGGUCCGAGAGGGUGAUCCGCCACACUGGGACUGAGACACGGCCCAGACUCCUACGGGAGGCAGCAGUGGGGAAUAUUGGACAAUGGGGGGAACCCUGAUCCAGCCAUGCCGCGUGUGUGAAGAAGGCCUUUUGGUUGUAAAGCACUUUAAGUGGGGAGGAGGCUUACCUGGUUAAUACCUGGGCUAAGUGGACGUUACCCACAGAAUAAGCACCGGCUAACUCUGUGCCAGCCGCCGCAGUAA